This 417-nucleotide ribosomal RNA is filed under the name Biomphalaria alexandrina. RNAcentral's name for it is "partial 16S ribosomal RNA". Lineage: Eukaryota; Metazoa; Mollusca; Gastropoda; Planorbidae. The record is from RNAcentral.
AGUUUAAGGAAAAAAUCUUAAAUGUAUUCUGCCCAAUGAUUUUUAAAUGGCCGCAGUACCUUGACUGUGCUAAGGUAGCAUAAUCAAUUGGCUUCUAAUUAAAGUCUGGAAUGAAAGGAAAAAUGAAGUAAUUCUGUCUUAAAAAAUUUUUUUUUAAUUUAUUUAAAUGAUGAAAAUAUCAUUUUUUAGAAAAAAGACGAGAAGACCCUUAGAGUUUUUAUUUAUUUUUUUGUUGGGGCGACAAGUAAACAAUUAAACUUUACUAAUUUUUUAAAUCGAUUUAAUAAUAAGAUUAAUUAAACUACCUUAGGGAUAACAGCAUUAUAUUUUUAUAUGAUUGUGACCUCGAUGUUGGACUAGGAACUUUAUGGCUAGCCGUCAUAAAAGAUUUGUUCUGUUCGAACAAUUUUAUCCUAC